This 7037-nucleotide long non-coding RNA is filed under the name Salmo salar (Atlantic salmon). Its description in RNAcentral is "lncRNA (ENSSSAG00000103205.1)". Lineage: Eukaryota; Metazoa; Chordata; Actinopteri; Salmoniformes; Salmonidae. The record is from RNAcentral.
CAUUUGAUCAAGAUAUACAUUUUUCUUUUGAAGUUUUGGAAUAAAACAAUCAAUUGCUUCAGAAUUGUUUAUAAGCCAAUUUAGAGGUGAGGUUAUCUACUUCGCUGUUGGCUAUUUAGAAAAGUUGGAACAAAUAUUUAAAAGGAGGGGUUUUAUCCAACUGGAAUUUUCUAACUGUGCGGUAUCUUACUUGUCCUCUAUACAACGUGAUGGAGAGGGAGGAGUUUUCGGUCUCCUCGCCAUAGGAUUGUAAGCGGUUGUUAUUGAGCGUCUCGGUCCAGUCUAGCUGUUCUCAUCCGGACACCCAUGAGACUCAGGCAGGCACCGUAAAAGCUUUACAGUGGGCUAGAAGGCUAUCUACAGAACUUCUGAUGGUGACGACACUCGGCGGGGCAAUUGUAGGAUUGUAAACAGUGCGCUUUUAGACAGUGUUCUUAAAUGGAUGGAGACGUCAUGGACCUCAGAGGAACACAAUAACAUUUGGAAAGUUUCACCAAAUGCCCUCUUGGUACUCAGAUGACUUUUUAAUCUAGGCGGCAAUUCUGAUUUCGUUUUCACAUUUUCAGAUUUCGUUUUUUUUUAUGAUUCCAUUGUGCCACAGAGAGAAUGACCGCUUUCACCCCGUGCAUAAAUUAACUGAAUUAUUGUACGAGCUACUGCGUGGAGACAAGUUAAUGUUUAACUUCUGAGUUCUUAGAUUUCUUGGUGGGGGGCCAACGCGAACUGGAAAUGGGAGCGUGCCUUUGCUGUGCCUUGUAAGUUUUUACAGCCUGGUGCCAAGGGACAACAACAACAACAACAUGGGUAGCGGUAGUAGUCGAGGAAAGAAGGUUGCUCCUUCCAGUGUCAACGAGAUAAACUCAUUCAGAAGAGAUGACAACACAGUCCACGUUUUGAAAGAGGAAAGACACUUGUUCAAACCAUUGAAAAUAACCAAAUCUACGAAUUUAAGUCAGUCACGAAAUAGAGCGCAACACGACUGCCACAGUGAAGGACACGAUUCUGAAUUUUCCGUAGAGGAUGAUGACAUUGAUGUGGAACUGAAUCGAGUUCUACAGGAAUAUGACAAUCGGGAAUUGCGUUCCAAGAGGAAAACGUAUCAAACGAAACCUUUCAUCAGGUCUAAUACAUAUGGGUUAUGUCAUUCCAGUCGAGUCCACAAUGAAAGCGUUUUCAAUUCAACCCCACACUGGCAGAGUUCUGAAUUGUCGGAGGGGAGUGGGGCAUGUUGUCCAGAUAACGGUUCUGUUGGAGUCAAGGACAAGAAAGGCAUCCCAGUCUUCAACCAGUUUUGCAAAAAUACACAAAUUCAGUUCUCAAGCGGCGCUCAGGAAAAUGACUUGUUGACAACGGGGUCAGCUUGUGUGGAGUCAGUGCCUCGAGCAGAAACAGACUCAGUCCUGGACGAUGGCAAUGGCCCCUCUCUCUCCAUGCCUGUUAUUCUGUACGAUGGAUCAGAAGUGGACCUGAUGGAGACCAUAGAGAGAGAGUUUAGUUGACCUCACAGGAGAGACUAAAAUAGCAGGAUAACUUUUUAACCAAAUAUUUGUUUUUUGAAUGAAUGAAUGGUGGAUGUGCAUAAUGAUGGAGGAAUUCAGAUAUGAUGCCAUUGUUUUAGCACUACCCACAGAUUAAGUAACUGGCCAGUAUUUCCAAAUGUAUAUGAAAUAGGACCUAUAAUUAACUACAAUAGGAAUUUAAUAAUUUUCCUUAAAAAAACUGGCAAUUAAGUAUGUUAAAAAGCAGUUUUUCUGUGUUGGAAUGGUGUUGGCGUACUCCAACAACAGAAUGGUGUGGGCGUAUACCAUUCAUUAAAAAUGUUAAGGCGAGUAGACUGCUGAUUGCCCAGCUGACAUCUUCCUCUAUGAGGAAAUAGCAACAAAAUAAAUGUAAACGGUCUGUUUGAGGUGGUUUUUUUCCCAAUUUAUGCUUUGGCCAAAAAUAAGAGUAUAGAAUGAGUGAACAACAUUAUUUGAGUUAAGAGAAUAUUAACUUUUAAAAGUGAGAUUUCCACAGGAUAGUUACUUUAAACUAGGAUAUGUGACAUGGUUCAAUGUGCCACUAAAUCAGCACAAUCUACUUUUUAGUUUUUUCCAAUUGCCGCCAUCUUGGAGCUACAAUCGGGAUCAAGUUUACUGUGCUAAAGCAGAUACAAAAAAAGAGUAAUAGAGACCAUUAUACAAUAUAGCAAACUCUUUUAUGCAUGUCCACUAUUGAUCAAAUCAAAUUUUAUUUUUCACAUGUUUCAUAAAAACAGCAAUGCAGAGAGAAAAAUCGAGAAAAAAAAUAUAUAUAUUUAACACAAGGAAUAAAUACACAGUGAGUGAUGAUAACUUGGCUACAUACAUGGGGUACCAGUACUGAGUCGAUGUGCAGGGGUACGAGGUAAUUGAGGUAGAUAUGUACAGUUCAUAUAGGUAGGGUCAGUGUUUUAUUCGAGACUGAGUCAAGACCGAGACCAGAAAAAUGACAGUACAAUUCAAGACCAUGAUUGUAAUUGUGUAAAAUCGGCACCAUAAUACAAGUUAAAAAUGUCCAGUAAUUCUGUGUUCCUAUUUCAGAAGAACAUAUGGAUUCUUUAGAACAGGGAUUCGUAAACUUUUUCAGCCUGGGACCGAAAUGAGAAAUGCUGUGUUUUCCUGGGACCCAAACUUAUGAAAACAUGCCCCCUUUUCGAGAUCCUAAGUGAGAUUUGUUUGGGGCGGGCACCCCACCUCACGGGCAAACAUUUUUAGUGGCCCUUCUCUUGACUGCAUAGAGAAAAAAGUUUUAAAGUUAAUUUCCAGCAAUUCUACACAUUCGGCAAUUGGGAGAGAAAAUGCUGCAGUGUUAAAGCACGUGUUCUGCACGUCUGAACAUUUUGCCAUGAGAGGGAGAAAGCAUUUAGAAAUUUUAUAAAACAUUUCAUGCAAUUCUACUCAUUUUGCCAUGUGGCAGAGAUAAGAAAAUUGCAUUUUUAAAGCUAAUUUCCUGCAAUUCUACACAUUGGGCCAUGACUUAUGCCUUGUUAAUAUAAUAUCUGAGUGAGAGUGACUAACAAAAUCAAUGUGGGCCCCCAGUAGGUCAGGGCCCAUGGGCACAUGCCCUGCUUGUCCGGUCGGUAUUCGUCCAUGAAAGCUACAAGUUUAGAUAGCUGGCUAGACUAACUUACCAAUCUAAAAAUUGUUAGCUGAGAUGGCUAAUUGAGUGACAAACAUAAAAAGAGAAAAGCUGCUGAUGCACAACCAAAUUUCAAAAUUUCACCUUGUGUAUUCUACUAUUCUACAUGAAAUGUGUGGUCCUUUGUAGCUCAGUUGGUAGAGCAUGGGGCUUGUAAGGGUAGGCAGUUCAAUUCCCAGGACCACCCAUAGAUAAAAUGUAUGCACCCAUGACUGUGAGUCACUUUGGAUAAAGGCUUCUGCUAAAUGGCAUAUUUUCUAACUCUCAACAGUAAUUUGAGACCCUGACUCCCUACUAAUAAAAAAAAACAACUGCAACCCAUACUUUAAGAAAGGCUGCUUUAGACAUUCAGAAUGGUGAAAAAAUGCCUGCUGAGUGCAAAUAGGGAGCCACUCUACAAAUCAUCACUAACCCAAACAGAUCUAUAAUAGAUAAAAAUACAACUUCCUCCGGUCUCCCCUUACUAAUAGUGAGGACACAACUUUAAAUCAUUCCCCCCACUCUUCCCUACCAGCGAAUUAAGGAAGUUCUGACGAGCGCGACAAAGUUUGAGGAUAUUUUUCAACAAAAGUUAAGGACAGUAAUGUUACGAGUAAAGUAGGAAGCCCUGGUUUCGAUAGGUGAUAAGAUAUUGUCAUAAAAGGGGUGUGGAUAUUUGGCCUGGCAAAGCGGCUUUAUGCGCUGACUGAAUGGGAGCCGAAAUUCUGAAGGUUUUACUCUACUGGUCUCGUCUGGUCUCAGGAAGAAAUUACAAGUCCUCAUUGUCCGAGACCAAGUCAAGACCGAAUAAAUAAGUAUCAGACACAGAGAUUAGACGAAGAGACUCAAUAUCUGGUCUUGAGUACUACAACACUGGGUAGGGGUAAAGUGACUAUAGGCAAAAGGAUAAAUAAUAAACAGUAGCAGCAGCGUAUGUGAUGAGUCAAAAGAGCAAAAAGGGUGAAUGAAGAUAGUCCGGGUAGCUAUUUGGUUAACUAAUUAUCAGUCCUAUGGCUUGGAGGUAGAAGCUGUUCAGGGUACUGUUGGUUACAGACUUGGUGCAUCUGUACCGCUUGCUGUGCGGUAGCAGGGAGAACAGCCUAUGACAUGGGUGUCUGGAGUCUUUGACAAUUUUUAGGGCCUUCCUUUGACACCGCCUGGUAUAGAGGUCCUGAAUGGCAGGGAGCUCGGCCUCAGUGAUGUACUGGGUCGUACGCAUUGCUCUCUGUAGCGCCUUGCGGUCAGAUGCCAAACAGUUGCCAUACCAAGUGGUGAUGCAGCCAAUCAAGAUGCUCUCAAUGGUGUAGCUGUGGGACUUUUAGAGGAUCUGAGGGCCCAUGCCAAAUAUUUUCAGCCUCCUGAGAUCGAAGAGGCAUUGUCGUGCCUUCUCCACGACUGUUGGUGUGUGUGAACCAUGUUAAUUAAUUCUUUAGUGAUGUGGGCACAGAGGAACUUUAAGCUCUUGAUUAGUGCCAUAUUGACGCAGAUUUAUAUAUAUAUAUAUAUACACACACACUGUACCAGUCAAAGGUUUGGACACACCUAAUCAUUCAAAGGUUUUUCUUUAAUUGUACUAUUUUAUACAUUGUAGAAUAAUAGUGAAGACAUCAAAACUAUGAAAUAACACAUAUGGAAUCAUGUAGUAAAAAUGUGCAGCACUCUAUCACUCUCCUUCUUGGUCAAAUAGCCCUUACACAGCCUGGAGGUGUGUUUUGGGUCAUUGUCCUGUUGAUAAACAAAUGAUAGUCCCACUAAGCGCAAACCAGAUGGGAUGGCGUAUUGCUGCAGAAUGCUGCGGUAGCCAUGAUGGUUGUGUGCCUUGAAUUCUAAAUAAAUCACAUACAGUCACUAGCAAAGCACCUCCACACCAUCACACCUCCUCGUCCAUGCUUCACGAUGGGAACCACACAUGCGGAGAUCAUCCGUUUACCUACUCCACAUCUCACAAAGACACGGCAGUUGGAAACAAAAAAAAUCACAUUUGGACUCAUCAGACCAAAGGACAGAUUUCCACCAUUCUAAUAUGCAUUGCUCAUGUUUCUUGGCCCAAGCAAGUCUCUUCUUGUUAUUGGUGUCCUUUAGUAGUGGUUUCUUUGCAGCAAUUAGACCAGGAAGGCCAGAUUCACUCAGUUUCCUCUUAACAGUUGAUGUUGAGAUGUGUCUGUUACUUUAUUUGGGCUGAAAUCUGAGGUGCAGUUAACUCUAAUGAACCUACCCUCUGCAGAAUAGGUAACUGGGUCUUCCUUUCCUGUGGCGGUCCUCAUGAAAGCCUGUUUCAUCAAAGCGCUUGAUGGUUUUUGUGACUGCACUUGAAGAAAGUUGUUGACAUUUCCCGGAUUGACUGACCUUCAUGUCUUAAAGUAAUAAUGGACUGUCAUUUCUCUUUGCUUAUUUGAGCUGUUCUUACCAUAAUAUGUACUUGGUCUUUUAUCAAAUAGGGCUAACACAGCUGAUUGGCUCAAACGCAUUAAGAAGGAAAGAAAUUCCACAAAUUAACUUUUAACAAGGCACACCUGUUAAUUGAAAUGCAUUCCAGGUGACUACCUCAUGAAGCUGGUUGAGAGAAUGCCAAGAGUGUGCAAAGCUGUCAUCAAGGCAAAGGGUGGCUACUUUGAAGAAUCUCAAAUAUAAACAAAUCAAAAUAUAUUUUAACACUUUUUUGGUUACUACAAGAUUCCAUGUGUUAUUUCAUAGUUUUGAUGUUUUCACUAUUAUUCUACAAUUUAGAGAAGAAAAACCCUUGAAUGAGUAGGUGUGUGCAAACUUUUGACUGGUACUGUAUAUAUAAAUAAAUUAAAUACUGCAUUUGCAGCACCAUGCAGGGCUACAGACACCAACCAAUCUAAUAAACUAUUAAUUAUCUCCAUGGAUAUGUCUGUCAAUGGGUAAUAGACAGAAUCAUCCAGUGGUCUAUUCCAAUGUGGGAUUCAACAUCGUGUCAGCCCACAAAAUUGCUGCAGAAACAAUUCGGUCUUACAAAACAUUUGGCAUUGAGCAAUGUCCUUGUAGUUUUGUAGUCUUAAUGUUGCGAAUUUCAAAGUCUGGCAUUCUCUGGAUUUAUGGUGUUUUCAAAACAACUGGGAACUCGGAAACAAACAAGGCCGAAUCAUGAUGACGUCAUUGAUCUUCAAGUCGUAGCUCUAGAAAGAGGCCGGAUUUACUAUUCUGAGUUGGAUGACCGUUCAAAAUGUAUUUUCCCAGUCGGAGCUUGUUUAUUCCGAUUUCCCAGUCUAGAGUAAAACAGCUCAAAGACCACUUAUUUCAACAAGGCUUAUGGGCAUGCUAUAAUAGUUGAGCGAAAGGCAUGUUUUUCUCUCAAUGCCUACUUUUAAAAGGUAUGUGCUAGGGAUGUGUAUUUAAGUUUAAUUUCCUGACCAUAGUUCUUGCGGUGUUCCCACCCUUCUGAGGAAGGGUGGGGACAGUAUCCAGCAGGAUUUAGAGGGGCUGAAUGUGACACAUUCUUUGGCAUCUCACUUUCCACUGACAGAGAGAAAUCCAGUAAGAGAUAGUGAGUUGUACUUCCCCACUGUGGUGAGAAAAGUUAAUUGCAUCUGCACACAGAAGCACUUAAACAAUAUUUUGAAUUGGAAUUCUGAUACAUGUGUUUAAUUUCAAAUUAAAUAGUUGGAAUGAAUGAGGUACAGAUUUGCAAUGUGGUAUUGUAAUGGUGUAUUACAUCUGUCCUCUUGUAUUUCAUUCUGCUCAGCCUAUAUGUUCUAAUAAUGACAAUAGACAUUUUACAACACUGAAUUAAUAUUUGUUUUAUAUUGUACGUAAAUUCUAAAUGAUUGGUUUUACCCCUCACCUGUAAAGCUUUGAAUAAAUAAAUGGAAAUGCCAACUUGCCCACUAUUUACUAAAACUACAUACUGUGUACUAAUAGUACAACAUACUAUUUAC